GGGUAUAUAGUUCAAGUGGUAGAGCACAUGCUUAGCAUGCACAAGGUCCUGGGUUCAAUCCCCAGUACCUCCU
Molecule: transfer RNA, 73 nt
Filed under: Camelus bactrianus (Bactrian camel)
Lineage: Eukaryota; Metazoa; Chordata; Mammalia; Artiodactyla; Camelidae
Also listed under: 2 other names
Rfam family: tRNA
About the family: Transfer RNA (tRNA) molecules are approximately 80 nucleotides in length. Their secondary structure includes four short double-helical elements and three loops (D, anti-codon, and T loops). Further hydrogen bonds mediate the characteristic L-shaped molecular structure. tRNAs have two regions of fundamental functional importance: the anti-codon, which is responsible for specific mRNA codon recognition, and the 3' end, to which the tRNAs corresponding amino acid is attached (by aminoacyl-tRNA synthetases). tRNAs cope with the degeneracy of the genetic code in two manners: having more than one tRNA (with a specific anti-codon) for a particular amino acid; and 'wobble' base-pairing, i.e. permitting non-standard base-pairing at the 3rd anti-codon position.
Source: Rfam by way of RNAcentral